CAGGCCUAACACAUGCAAGUCGAACGAGGUUUGGUCAGUUUGCGGUGGUGCUUGCAUCACCAAUUACCGAUCAAACCGAGUGGCGGACGGGUGAGUAACACGUGGGUAACCUGCCCUUCAGCAGGGGAUAACAUUUGGAAACAGAUGCUAAUACCGUAUAACCACGGAGACCACAUGGUCUCCGGGUAAAAGAUGGCGCAAGCUAUCACUGAAGGAUGGACCCGCGGCGUAUUAGCCAGUUGGUGGGGUAACGGCCUACCAAAGCGAUGAUACGUAGCCGACCUGAGAGGGUAAUCGGCCACAUUGGGACUGAGAGCAGGGCCCAAACUCCUACGGGAGGCAGCAGUAGGGAAUCUUCCACAAUGGACGCAAGUCUGAUGGAGCAACGCCGCGUGAGUGA
RNAcentral lists this ribosomal RNA (400 nucleotides) under uncultured bacterium. RNAcentral's name for it is "bacterial SSU rRNA". It matches the Rfam family "Bacterial small subunit ribosomal RNA", at positions 43 to 408 of the family's 1533-position model. The record is from RNAcentral.